Papaver somniferum (opium poppy) is the source of this 236-nucleotide long non-coding RNA. RefSeq lists it as uncharacterized. Lineage: Eukaryota; Viridiplantae; Streptophyta; Magnoliopsida; Ranunculales; Papaveraceae. The transcript is spliced from 3 exons. The record is from RefSeq and is a predicted model, not a curated record.
UACUGCGUUUUUUAGAACCAUGUGUGCGAACAAUAAUGUAGUAUCGAUACGAACACCGUUACCACUACAUACUAUUAAUACUAUACUGGAGGCUAUAUCCCUUUUGAUCCUUAUCGACAACAGCCUAACAUCAUGGUUGGACUCUUGCAGGAGCAAUUGCGAAGAGGACAAAAUUCGCAUAAUCCAUGCGCGCAAAAAUACCCGUGCGAACAAGAAUAUAGAUGAAACAGAAAAAA